AGAGUUUGAUCCUGGCUCAGGGUGAACGCUAGUAGUAUGCUUAACACAUGCGAGUCGAACGAAAACAUUGUUUUCGUGGCGUACGGGUGAGUAAUACACAGGAAUCUGCCUUUUAGUUCAGCCUAAAAUUCUGAAUAUUUAAAGAAAACUUUUCGCUAAAAGAUGAGCCUGUGGAGGAUUAGGUAGUUGGUGCGGGUAAAAGCCUACCAAGCCUCUGAUCCUUAGCUGUUCUGAGAGGAAGUACAGCCACACUGGGACUGAGACAAGGCCCAGGCUCCAUUUGGAGCCAGCAGUGAGGAAUUUUGGACAAUGAGCGAAAGCUUGAUCCAGCAAUACUACAUGAGUGAUGAAGGCUUUCAAGUUGUAAAACUCUUUGGUUGAGGAGGAUAAUGACAGUACUCAACAAAAUAGCCCCGGCUAACUUCGUGCCAGCAGCCGCGGUAAGACGAAGGGGGCGAGCGUUAUCCGGAAUGACUGGGCGUAAAGGGUCCGUAGGCAGCAUUUUCUGUUAAUUGUGAAAGAAAAAAGCCCAACUUUUUUUAGCUUUUAAUACAUUAAUGCUUAGAGUUUGAGAGGGGAUAGCAGAAUUUCACAUGGAGGGGUGAUAUCCGUAGAUAUGUGAAGGAAUACCAGAGGCGAAGGCGGCUAUCUAGCUCAAUACUGACGUUGAGGGACGAAAGCAUGGGGAGCAAACAGGAUUAGAUACCCUGGUAGUCC
This 717-nucleotide ribosomal RNA is filed under the name uncultured bacterium. RNAcentral's name for it is "bacterial SSU rRNA". It matches the Rfam family "Bacterial small subunit ribosomal RNA", at positions 8 to 796 of the family's 1533-position model. The record is from RNAcentral.